AUGUGCACUGAGCUCCAGGAACGAGCUGCAACAGCACCAGCCAGCAAAACAUGCCCGAGAUUAUUUUGCCUAUUUGUUAAACUUCACUGCCAUCUGCUGCUGGAAGGGAACUCGGACCGCAGGCUGGGAAAGUUCAGGCCUCUGACCCUCACUAAGAGCAGCUCAACUAUUCUCCUGCUUAAGCUGAUUGCACCACCUCUCUGUUCCCCAGCAUGCAGCCUUGCUUCAUACACCUGCAGAAGUAAAGGCAGGUAAGUCCUGAUGUGGUGCUCUGAUACAGUACAUGCAGCUCAUUUCAGUUUGCUUUCUGAAUCAAAAAAUACUGGAUAUUUUCUGCUUUACAAAGGGAGAAUACAGCAGAAGGACUGACUACAAGGCAGACAGCUAGGAAAACACAGAUUGACAAAAGAGAAAAGGCAUUGUCUGGUAUUUUAAGAAAUCUUCAGUAGAAAGUGUUGGUAGAGAGCCUUGCCAGAAGAGAUUAAAGGGAGAAGUGGCUUUAAGAUCUUGGUGAAAGGUUAAUUAUUCUCCCUGUGGAAUAAUGCCUGAAGUAAACAGGGCACCUGUUCUUCCCACUGGAAGAAUUACUCAGUGCUGCCACUCAGUGCUUUUGCCCCACACCAACUAUACAAAGCUUGCUGCUCAGCUUCCCACCAGCAGAAGGAAAUAAUUUCUGCUGAAUUCAUCUACAGCAGACUUUACAAGGAGUCUGAAUAAGAGAAGCAAUGCAUAUCUGCAGCCAUAAGUAAUGCUAGCCAAGGGUGCGGUGCUAAAGGAGUCUCACUAAGUCUUAAGAGUAUUGCCAAGAGAUAGAAAGCUGGAAGGUGAUUAUAUUCCCUGCACAGAAGCAUAUCGAGGAGAUAAGAAGUAGCUUCACAUUUACUUAUUGUACUAUGCAGAAGUAACACAGACACCAAGUUAGAGAGCAGCAGUAAUGGGAAGCAGAGCUUGCUGGAGGCAGCUUUUAAUGCUUGCUUUGUGAAUGAGCUGUGAUUUUAAUUGCCAUUUGGACUAAACUAGUCUGGACAGCCUCCAACACAGCCCAAGUGUUAGCCUAGCUGUAGGAAUGUUUCACCUUGCUGUAAAAGUUACGGAAGUUACAAGGCAUCCUUUUCCACCUGUUUCUAGAAGGAGUAGUCACUGAUAAGAAGGCAUGCUUUGGGGAUACACAGUAUAAUUCCAAAUGUAUUACUUGAAGCUUUUCAAACUCACAAGAAUACGAACUGCUAAAGACAGCAGAGACAUUGCUAGGAGAGUUCUACAACAAAAAGAUCUCAUUAGCUUUGAGCUAUGAAAAUAAUCCAGCACAGUCGCUGGAGUCAACCAAACUGCUGCUUAUGGGUUGACUGAUAAGGAAAAUGCUAACAAUCUUGGAGGUGAAUUUUUGUCCUAGGUGGCCCUGCUUAGAGGAUGUGAGGCUGUGUAAUAAGACACUUCCAGUUCUUCCUAUUUAUAUUAUGGGCCCUUGCAAUAUUCAGUGUUUGUUUAAAGCCCAGCUCCUGGAAUCAAGAGAUUAGGUGAAAGACUCUGUUUUAAUUAAUAAACAAAUAAGAAAGGUUUUCUUCA
Molecule: long non-coding RNA, 1566 nt
Organism: Coturnix japonica (Japanese quail)
Lineage: Eukaryota; Metazoa; Chordata; Aves; Galliformes; Phasianidae
Source: Ensembl